GAUGAACGCUGGCGGCGUGCCUAAUACAUGCAAGUCGAGCGAACAGACGAGGAGCUUGCUCCUCUGACGUUAGCGGCGGACGGGUGAGUAACACGUGGAUAACCUACCUAUAAGACUGGGAUAACUUCGGGAAACCGGAGCUACUACCGGCUAAUAUAUUGAACCGCAUGGUUCAAUAGUGAAAGACGGUUUUGCUGUCACUUAUAGAUGGAUCCGCGCCGCAUUAGCUAGUUGGUAAGGUAACGGCUUACCAAGGCAACGAUGCGUAGCCGAGCUGAGAGGGUGAACCGCCACACUGGAACUGAGACACGGUCCAGACUCCCACGGGAGGCAGCAGUAGGGAAUCUUCCGCAAUGGGCGAAAGCCUGACGGAGCCACGCCGCGUGAGUGAUGAAGGUCUUCGGAGCGUAAAACUCUGUUAGUAGGGAAGAACAAAUGUGUAAGUAACUAUGCACUUCUUGACGGUACCUAAUCAGAAAGCCACGGCUAACUACGUG
This 497-nucleotide ribosomal RNA is filed under the name uncultured bacterium. Its description in RNAcentral is "partial 16S ribosomal RNA". It matches the Rfam family "Bacterial small subunit ribosomal RNA", at positions 28 to 507 of the family's 1533-position model. The record is from RNAcentral.